UAGGGAAUCUUCCGCAAUGGACGCAAGUCUGACGGAGCAACGCCGCGUGAGUGAAGAAUGAUUUCGGUUCGUAAAACUCUGUUGUUAGAGAAGAACAGCGCAGAGAGUAACUGUUAUGCGUGUGACGGUAUCUAACCAGAAAGCCACGGCUAACUACGUGCCAGCAGCCGCGGUAAUACGUAGGUGGCAAGCGUUGUCCGGAUUUAUUGGGCGUAAAGCGAGCGCAGGCGGUCAAUUAAGUCUGAUGUGAAAGCCCCCGGCUCAACCGGGGAGGGUCAUUGGAAACUGGUUGACUUGAGUGCAGAAGAGGAGAGUGGAAUUCCAUGUGUAGCGGUGAAAUGCGUAGAUAUAUGGAGGAACACCAGUGGCGAAGGCGACUCUCUGGUCUGUAACUGACGCUGAGGUUAGAAAGCGUGGGUAGCAAACAGG
Molecule: ribosomal RNA, 429 nt
Filed under: Bacteroidota bacterium
Lineage: Bacteria; Pseudomonadati; Bacteroidota
Description: Bacteroidetes bacterium partial 16S ribosomal RNA
Rfam family: Bacterial small subunit ribosomal RNA
Source: RNAcentral